RNAcentral lists this unclassified non-coding RNA (288 nucleotides) under Clitopilus sp. Its description in RNAcentral is "partial contains 5.8S ribosomal RNA, internal transcribed spacer 2, and large subunit ribosomal RNA". Lineage: Eukaryota; Fungi; Basidiomycota; Agaricomycetes; Agaricales; Entolomataceae. The record is from RNAcentral.
CGCACCUUGCGCUCCUUGGUAUUCCGAGGAGCAUGCCUGUUUGAGUGUUAUUAUAUUCUCAACCUCACUAGUUUUUUCAAACUUGCGAGGCUUGGAUCAUGGGGUCUGCGGGCUUUCACAAGUCGGCUAUCCUUAAAUGCAUUAGCAGAGCUUUUGCCGCUAACCAUUGGUGUGAUAAUUAUCUACGCCAUUGAGCAGUGACAUAUUGAGGCUUUGCUUCUAAUCGUCCUCACGGACAAAUCUUGACAAUCUGACCUCAAAUCAGGUAGGACUACCCGCUGAACUUAA